RNAcentral lists this ribosomal RNA (610 nucleotides) under uncultured archaeon. Its description in RNAcentral is "bacterial SSU rRNA". It matches the Rfam family "Archaeal small subunit ribosomal RNA", at positions 1 to 622 of the family's 1478-position model. The record is from RNAcentral.
UCAGGUUGAUCCUGCCGGACUGACUGCUAUCGUAUUGGUACUAAGCCAUGCGAGUCGUUGUACAAUACAAGGCGGACUGCUCAGUAACACGUAAUUAACUUAACCUAUGGAUGGGGAUAACCUCGGGAAACUGUGAAUAAUACCCAAUGGACCACAGUGCCUGGAAUGGCCUGUGGUUGAAAUGAUUUAUCGCCGUAGGAUAGGACUGCGGCCUAUCAGCUUGUUGGUGAGGUAAUGGCCCACCAGGGCUAUAACAGGUACGGGCUCUGAGAGGAGGGGCCCGGAGAUGGGUACUGAGACACGGACCCAGGCCCUAUGGGGCGCAGCAGGCGAGAAACCUUUGCAAUGUGCGAAAGCACGACAAGGUUAAUCCGAGUGUCUCCUGCUAAAGGAGUCUUUUGUCAGUUGUAGAAUCACUGGUGAAUAAGGGGUGGGCAAGUUCUGGUGUCAGCCGCCGCGGUAAAACCAGCACCUCGAGUGGUCAGGAGGUUUAUUGGGCCUAAAGCAUCCGUAGCCGGUUGCAUAAGUUUCCGGUUAAAUCUAUGCGCUUAACGUAUAGGCCGCCGAAAAUACUGUGCAGCUAGGGAGUGCGAGAGGUCCCGGUACUCGA